This is a small nuclear RNA of Carcharodon carcharias (great white shark), 107 nucleotides long. The record is from RefSeq and is a predicted model, not a curated record. NCBI's taxonomy places the organism in Eukaryota, Metazoa, Chordata, Chondrichthyes, Lamniformes, Lamnidae.
GUGAGCGAAACAGCAGCACAUGUACUAAAACUGGAACCAUACAGAAAAGAUCAGCAUGGCCCCUGCACAAGUAUGAGACGCAAAUGAGUGAAGCGUUCCCUAUUUUA